Molecule: ribosomal RNA, 460 nt
Filed under: uncultured bacterium
Lineage: Bacteria
Description: partial 16S ribosomal RNA
Rfam family: Bacterial small subunit ribosomal RNA
Source: RNAcentral
CCUACGGGAGGCAGCAGUGAGGAAUAUUGGUCAAUGGACGAGAGUCUGAACCAGCCAAGUAGCGUGAAGGAUGACUGCCCUAUGGGUUGUAAACUUCUUUUAUAUGGGAAUAAAACGUUCCACGUGUGGGCUUUUGUAUGUACCAUAUGAAUAAGGAUCGGCGAACUCCGUGCCAGCAGCCGCGGUAAUACGGAGGAUCCGAGCGUUAUCCGGAUUUAUUGGGUUUAAAGGGAGCGUAGGUGGAUUGUUAAGUCAGUUGUGAAAGUUUGCGGCUCAACCGUAAAAUUGCAGUUGAAACUGGCAGUCUUGAGUACAGUAGAGGUGGGCGGAAUUCGUGGUGUAGCGGUGAAAUGCUUAGAUAUCACGAAGAACUCCGAUUGCGAAGGCAGCUCACUGGACUGCAACUGACACUGAGGCUCGAAAGUGUGGGUAUCAAACAGGAUUAGAUACCCUAGUAGUC